Molecule: ribosomal RNA, 1253 nt
Filed under: metagenome
Description: bacterial LSU rRNA
Rfam family: Bacterial large subunit ribosomal RNA
Source: RNAcentral
GGUGGGUUGGUAGAGUAUACCAAGGGGCGCGAGAUAACUCUCUCUAAGGAACUCGGCAAAAUGACCCCGUAACUUCGGGAGAAGGGGUGCCAAGUAACUUAAAUUGCUUGGUCGCAGUGACCAGGCCCUGGCGACUGUUUAUCAAAAACACAGGUCUCCGCAAAGUCGUAAGACAACAUAUGGGGGCUGACGCCUGCCCAGUGCCGGAAGGUUAAAGAAGUUGGUUAUUCAUUUUUGGAGAAGCUGACGACUGAAGCCCCGGUGAACGGCGGCCGUAACGAUAACGGUCCUAAGGUAGCGAAAUUCCUUGUCGGGUAAGUUCCGACCCGCACGAAAGGCGUAACGAUCAGGGCACUGUCUCGGAGAGAGACUCGGUGAAAUAGACAUGUCUGUGAAGAUGCGGACUACCUGCACCUGGACAGAAAGACCCUAUGAAGCUUGACUGUAGCUUGGAAUUGGGUUCGGGCUCUUCUUGCGCAGCCUAGGUGGGAGGCGUUGAAAGCUUUCUUUUGGGAAAGCUGGAGCCAUCAGUGAGAGACCACUCUGGAGGAGCUAGAAUUCUAAUGGCGUUCCUUGAAGCAGGACGCUUGACAGUUUCAGGUGGGCAGUUUGACUGGGGCGGUCACCUCCUAAAAGGUAACGGAGGUGUGCAAAGGUUCCCUCAGGCUGGACGGAAAUCAGCCGUAGAGUGUAAAGGCAGAAGGGAGCUUGACUGCAAGACCUACAAGUCGAGCAGGGGCGAAAGCCGGCCUUAGUGAUCCGACGGUUCCAUGUGGAAGGGCCGUCGCUCAACGGAUAAAAGUUACUCUAGGAUAACAGGCUGAUCUUCCCCAAGAGUUCACAUCGACGGGAAGGUUUGGCACCUCGAUGUCGGCUCAUCGCAACCUGGGGCGGUAGUACGUCCCAAGGGUUGGGCUGUUCGCCCAUGAAAGCGGUACGUGAGCUGGGUUCAGAACGUCGUGAGACAGUUCGGUCCAUAUCCGGUGUAGGCGCUAGAGCAUUGAGAGGAGCCUUCCAUAGUACGAGAGGACCUGGAAGGACGCACCUCUGGUAUACCAGUUAUCAUGCCAAUGGUACACGCUGGGUAGCCAUGUGCGGAGUGGAUAACCGCUGAAAGCAUCUAAGUGGGAAGCCCACCUCAAGAUGAGUGCUCUCCAUUAGGUCACAGGAAGACAACCUGUUUGAUAGGCAGAAGGUGUAAGGCCAGUAAUGGUUUCAGCUGAUCUGUACUAAUAGACCGAUUGAUUUUGACC